UGCAGUCGAGCGGAUGAAGGGAGCUUGCUCCUGGAUUCAGCGGCGGACGGGUGAGUAAUGCCUAGGAAUCUGCCUGGUAGUGGGGGAUAACGUCCGGAAACGGGCGCUAAUACCGCAUACGUCCUGAGGGAGAAAGUGGGGGAUCUUCGGACCUCACGCUAUCAGAUGAGCCUAGGUCGGAUUAGCUAGUUGGUGGGGUAAAGGCCUACCAAGGCGACGAUCCGUAACUGGUCUGAGAGGAUGAUCAGUCACACUGGAACUGAGACACGGUCCAGACUCCUACGGGAGGCAGCAGUGGGGAAUAUUGGACAAUGGGCGAAAGCCUGAUCCAGCCAUGCCGCGUGUGUGAAGAAGGUCUUCGGAUUGUAAAGCACUUUAAGUUUUAGAGGAAGGGCAGUAAGUUAAUACCUUGCUGUUUUGACGUUACCAACAGAAUAAGCACCGGCUAACUUCGUGCCAGCAGCCGCGGUAAUACGAAGGGUGCAAGCGUUAAUCGGAUUACUGGGCGUAAAGCGCGCGUAGGUGGUUCAGCAAGUUGGAUGUGAAAUCCCCGGGCUCAACCUGGGAACUGCAUCCAAAACUACUGAGCUAGAGUACGGUAGAGGGUGGUGGAAUUUCCUGUGUAGC
RNAcentral lists this ribosomal RNA (627 nucleotides) under Pseudomonas sp. Horo_33. RNAcentral describes it as "bacterial SSU rRNA". It matches the Rfam family "Bacterial small subunit ribosomal RNA", at positions 56 to 679 of the family's 1533-position model. The record is from RNAcentral. Lineage: Bacteria; Pseudomonadati; Pseudomonadota; Gammaproteobacteria; Pseudomonadales; Pseudomonadaceae.